AGAGUUUGAUCCUGGCUCAGAACUAACGCUGGCGGCGUGGCUUAGGCAUGCAAGUCGAACGGCAAAGUCCGCAAGGACGUGUAAGUGGCGAAAGGGUGAGUAGUACUCAGGCAAUCUGCCCCUGGGACGGGGAUAGCCGCGGGAAACUGCGGGUAAUACCGGAUGGUCUCGCGAGGGCUUCGGCCCAUGCGAGUAAAGGGUGGGGAUCCGCAAGGACCUUCCGCCCGGGGAGGAGCUUGAGCCCUAUCAGGUAGUUGGCGGGGUAACGGCCCACCAAGCCUACGACGGGUACCCGGACUGAGAGGUUGGCCGGGCACACUGGCACUGAGACACUGGCCAGACUCCUACGGGAGGCUGCAGUCGAGAAUCUUCCGCAAUGGGGGCAACCCUGACGGAGCGACGCCGCGUGGAGGAAGAAGGCCCUCGGGUUGUAAACUCCUGUCACGACUUACGAAUGCGCACGGCAUAACAACCGUGCGUUGACGAAGGGUCGGAAGGAAGCCACAGCUAACUUCGUGCCAGCAGCUGCGGUAAGACGAAGGUGGCAAGCGUUGUUCUGAUUCACUGGGCAUAAAGGGCGCGUAGGCGGUUCCGAAAGUGGCAUGUGAAAUCCUCUGGCUCAACCAGAGAAGUGCGUGCCAAACUUCGGUUCUAGAGGAUGGUAGGGGGGAACUGGGAACUCUCGGUGGAGCGGUGAAAUGCGUAGAUUAUCGAGAGGAACACCGGUGGCGAAGGCGAGUCCCUGGGUCCAUCACUGACGCUGAGGCGCGAAAAGCGUGGGUUAGCAAAACAGGAUU
RNAcentral lists this ribosomal RNA (797 nucleotides) under uncultured bacterium. RNAcentral describes it as "bacterial SSU rRNA". It matches the Rfam family "Bacterial small subunit ribosomal RNA", at positions 8 to 779 of the family's 1533-position model. The record is from RNAcentral.